GAUGAACGCUGGCGGCGUGCCUAAUACAUGCAAGUCGAGCGAACGGACGAGAAGCUUGCUUCUCUGAUGUUAGCGGCGACGGGUGAGUAACACGUGGAUAACCUACCUAUAAGACUGGGAUAACUUCGGGAAACCGGAGCUAAUACCGGAUAAUAUUUUGAACCGCAUGGUUCAAAAGUGAAAGACGGUCUUGCUGUCACUUAUAGAUGGAUCCGCGCUGCAUUAGCUAGUUGGUAAGGUAACGGCUUACCAAGGCAACGAUGCAUAGCCGACCUGAGAGGGUGAUCGGCCACACUGGAACUGAGACACGGUCCAGACUCCUACGGGAGGCAGCAGUAGGGAAUCUUCCGCAAUGGGCGAAAGCCUGACGGAGCAACGCCGCGUGAGUGAUGAAGGUCUUCGGAUCGUAAAACUCUGUUAUUAGGGAAGAACAUAUGUGUAAGUAACUGUGCACAUCUUGACGGUACCUAAUCAGAAAGCCACGGCUAACUACGUG
This 496-nucleotide ribosomal RNA is filed under the name uncultured bacterium. Its description in RNAcentral is "partial 16S ribosomal RNA". It matches the Rfam family "Bacterial small subunit ribosomal RNA", at positions 28 to 507 of the family's 1533-position model. The record is from RNAcentral.